AAGCUUAGGUCCCAUAGUUUGUGGGAAGUGUGGAGGUAGUAAACACAACAUUAGGACUUGCAAAGGUCCUUCAAUUGCUUCAAGUUCAAAGAAAAAAGAGAAAAAUUCCUCAAGGAAAUCCAAUGUUGUGCCUAUUGGAACUAAUUCUACAGUUGCAUCGGCUGAUGGUACUAAUUCAACACAGGGGACUCCUCUGGUAGGUCGAGAUUUUCCACCUGAAAGGCCAAGUCCAUCAGCACAGGUAUAUAUUAAGUAGUAUUAUUUUUCUUAUAAGUAAACUUGCAAAUGAGUUUAUUAGCAUGAAAGAUUUCUAUUAUCCAGUUGAGGAAUGCUUCAAGUUCAGGAGUAACUGUUUCAAGUUCAGUAGUGCCAUCUCAAGUUGCAUCAAGUUCAUCUAUGUGGAGGUUUGGCUUUGGAGUAACACCAACUAUGGCAAUGCUAGAUAGACAAAGUGUUGUGAGGGGAGUGCCUGCAUUCAGGACCCCUCCUGUGAGGCCAUCGACUGUACCCCCGAACCAGCAAAUCAACAAAUCAGUACAAACUCAGUUCAUUUUCAAGGGACAACAAUCACUGUCAUUGGAAACCAUGCAUGCUGCUGGUCCUGCAACUGCAAAAAGAUUUGCUAGAUACCUCAACCUCAACCAAAAGCCCCCUUCACAGUAAAGAAAUGUUGGGUAAUGCCAUUUGUAAUUUUUUGACUAGAUCUGAACUUUUUGAUCUGAGGUAUAUAUUGUGUUUGCUUUUGUAAAGUUGGAAGUGAUAUGAGGCAUAUACUCUGGUUCUUUUUGUAAAGUUAGAAGUGAUCUAAGGUAUAUAUUCUGAUUCUUUUUGUAAAGUUGGAAGGAGCUAAAGGUGUUAAUAUUAGGCGCUAAGCUUCUCGAUAUUGGGGAGUUAAAUACAGAUAUGCAUGUUAGCUUGUGAAAGCACUGUAUUUUUUGUAUAAUAGGUACCAAAUUCAAGUCCUAUAUGGAUUUGGUAUUUGUUAUAUUUAGGGGAAGGGAUUUGUUUCUUUGUUUAGGCUUGUAAAGACUAGUAUGUAUCUCAUAUAAAUUUCAAUGGUAU
Punica granatum (pomegranate) is the source of this 1062-nucleotide non-coding RNA. The record is from RefSeq and is a predicted model, not a curated record. NCBI's taxonomy places the organism in Eukaryota, Viridiplantae, Streptophyta, Magnoliopsida, Myrtales, Lythraceae.